Molecule: long non-coding RNA, 373 nt
Organism: Cynoglossus semilaevis (tongue sole)
Lineage: Eukaryota; Metazoa; Chordata; Actinopteri; Pleuronectiformes; Cynoglossidae
Exons: 2
Source: RefSeq, a predicted model, not a curated record
AGCAAAAAUAUAUUUCAUAUUUAAUUAUUAAUAUACCUGCAUUUAAGCAGAAUGUUGUGAAAGAAUUAUAACCAGGAGUUGUGCAUUAAAAUGUACCAAUGAAUCAUUCUUAUAUUGUAGCUCACUUUUCAGUUAUAUUUUCAGAAUCAAGAUAGUCAAUUACUCUUUAACGAGUUCCCUUAAACAUUACGUCAUGAAUGUGAUAGCAGGAGAAAACAACGAAUUGUGGGCAAAAACCUUCAUACACCAGAUGGAGAAGGAGGAAAGGUGAAGAUGAAAACAAAGAGUAACUGUAACUGCAAGUAACUGCGUGUAAAACGUUAGCCAUUAGCAACAGCGCUUAAACCUGGGGAUAAUUUUAAAAAUAAAGUGG